Molecule: ribosomal RNA, 441 nt
Filed under: uncultured bacterium
Lineage: Bacteria
Description: partial 16S ribosomal RNA
Rfam family: Bacterial small subunit ribosomal RNA
Source: RNAcentral
CCUACGGGUGGCAGCAGUGGGGAAUAUUGCACAAUGGGGGAAACCCUGAUGCAGCGACGCCGCGUGGGUGAAGAAGUAUUUCUGUAUGUAAAGCCCUAUCAGCAGGGAAGAAAAAUGACGGUACCUGAAGACGAAGCCCCGGCUAACUACGUGCCAGCAGCCGCGGUAAUACGUAGGGGGCAAGCGUUAUCCGGAUUUACUGGGUGUAAAGGGGGCGCAGACGGCGAUGCAAGCCAGGAGUGAACGCCCGGGGCCCAACCCCGGGACUGCUCUUGGAACUGCGUGGCUGGAGUGCAGGAGGGGCAGGCGGAAUUCCUGGUGUAGCGGUGAAAUGCGUAGAUAUCAGGAGGAACACCGGUGGCGAAGGCGGCCUGCUGGACUGCAACUGACGUUGAGGCCCGAAAGCGUGGGGAGCAAACAGGAUUAGAUACCCCUGUAGUC